UCUUCCCUGGCCCUGUUUUGGUAAAAAGCUGAGGGAUAGGGCUGGAUAAAUGUAACCACUCUUAAAUUUACAGACAGAGCUAUGGAUGCAAGGACUGACCGUCCAGGAUAUCAAAAUGGUUCCUGGAGGAGUAUGCCAAAUACAACCUGUCAUUCUGGGCCGUAACCACAGGCAACGAGCCCUCUGCUGGACAGAUGACCAACUACAGUUUCCAGGCUUCACAGUAGAGGAGCAGAGGGAUUGGGUGGGCCUGGACCUUGGAGCUCUCCCUGGGCACUACCCACCACCUGUACCCAGAAUACUACCUGUUUGGAACGGAGGCCUGCGCUGGCUGGAGCCCCUCAGACAGAGGAGUACGGCUGGGCAGCUGGGAGAGAGCUGAGCAGUACGCACACAGCAUCAUACAGGUCAUCGUCAGAGGUCCAGUUUGAGGUGUAUGAUCCUGCUGUGGGUUUCAUCUCCUCCAGCCCACUCCCUGCUCACACUCGCUUGGAACACACUCUGACCGCACUGGAAUGGAACACACACCUUUACUGCCAGGGUCAAAGCAUUGUCACAGUCCCCACUACCAGGUCUGCUACAUUUCCACCACUACACUCAACUCCCACCACCAUCCGAAGCCCAAUGUGCUGCCGCCUCAGAACAGCAUAUUUAAAAAUAUCUAAAAAUAUCUAAGCAUAUCUAGAAAUGUCUGUGUGGUUUAGCCAAUACAGCCAAAUAUGUUGCAUGUUCCUAUGUAUCUGCACUGAUCUUUAUCACGCUGGGAGAAGCUCUGGAAUGUGUGAAUAUAGCAUGUGAUCAAACCAGGACCAGGUACACUAACUACUAUGAUCAGACACUGCUGCUGCUUGAGACGGUCUGACCAUUACACUGCUAACAACCGUUUCUAAACUGAAAUCUGGUUUAGAAAAGAGAUCAUGUACCGAAUCUAUUAAUGCCGUUUAAACCAUUUGCCUUUUGAAUAAAUGAUGUGUCUCUAUUACGUCGUCACACAAGUAUCGGGACGUUUUAAUGGACAAACAGACCCGAUAAAAAUCAAUGUUAA
This is an RNA transcript of Oncorhynchus masou masou (cherry salmon), 1045 nucleotides long. It is a transcript of the gene named serine/threonine-protein phosphatase 1 regulatory subunit 10-like, with no coding region annotated. The transcript is spliced from 4 exons. Lineage: Eukaryota; Metazoa; Chordata; Actinopteri; Salmoniformes; Salmonidae. The record is from RefSeq and is a predicted model, not a curated record.